RNAcentral lists this ribosomal RNA (494 nucleotides) under uncultured bacterium. RNAcentral describes it as "partial 16S ribosomal RNA". It matches the Rfam family "Bacterial small subunit ribosomal RNA", at positions 31 to 507 of the family's 1533-position model. The record is from RNAcentral.
GAACGCUGGCGGCGUGCCUAAUACAUGCAAGUCGAGCGAACAGACGAGGAGCUUGCUCCUCUGACGUUAGCGGCGGACGGGUGAGUAACACGUGGAUAACCUACCUAUAAGACUGGGAUAACUUCGGUAAACCGGAGCUAAUACCGGAUAAUAUAUUGAACCGCAUGGUUCAAUAGUGAAAGACGGUUUUGCUGUCACUUAUAGAUGGAUCCGCGCCGCAUUAGCUAGUUGGUAAGGUAACGGCUUACCAAGGCAACGAUGCGUAGCCGACCUGAGAGGGUGAUCGGCCACACUGGAACUGAGACACGGUCCAGACUCCUACGGGAGGCAGCAGUAGGGAAUCUUCCGCAAUGGGCGAAAGCCUGACGGAGCAACGCCGCGUGAGUGAUGAAGGUCUUCGGAUCGUAAAACUCUGUUAUUAGGGAAGAACAAAUGUGUAAGUAACUAUGCACGUCUUGACGGUACCUAAUCAGAAAGCCACGGCUAACUACGUG